GCUUCACACAUGCUAGGCAAGUGUUCUGCCACUGAGUUGCACCAUAGUCCUAGGCAGCAUGUUUUUUGGUAUGUUUGUUUUUUGGUGCUGGGGAUUGAACCCAGGGGCGCUCUACCACUGAGCCACAUCCACAGUCAUUUUUAUUUUUAUUUUUUUAUUUUGGGACAUGGUCUAAGUUGCUGAGGGUUUUGUUAAGUUUCUGAGGUUGGCCUUGAAUUUGCAAUCCUUCUAUCUAGGCUGCAUGUUCUUACGUGGGCUGGGCAGGUUUCUGGGCUUGACUGUGACUAGGAUGGAGUGGUCCUCAGAUUUGGCACAGAUCCCCAGGGGACAGAAUUUAGAGGAGCCCACAACAGGUUUGAGCAUGUUGGAUAAGGUGGGUCUGUGGGUCUCCGUCUCUUGGGAGUUUGAUCUAUCUGAGACCCUAACAUUUUCCCAGUCUGGGGAAAUGGUCAGUUCACCAGGGUAAUGCUACAAGGGAAAUCCCUUGGUUAACCUGAAACCUGGCCUACACCACUGAUUGGCUCUUCUCAGCCCAGGUUCCCAUAGAGAAAGUCUCUCUCACUGCCUGUCACCACCCCACUUAGUGACAUGACAUGAAAUACCUCCCAGAGUCAUCCUGGCUUCUGAACCCUGACUCCUUCUGGUUUCUGGUUUCUGCCCACCUAGGGACUGUUACCUCAUGUUCUCAUCCUGUUUGGUCCAGAACCCUUCUCAGGCAUGUUCUUAAAGGGAAAUUCUGGAUGACGUCACACGCAUAUCAGGACGAGGUCACACUGGCCCACCUGACUUGCUAUGGCUGGGGCUUGUCCCAGUCCAUUGCAGAGGGGUUUCCAGGCCUCACCCCAGCCUGCCCCUUGCUUCCAUCCUUCUGUCUAAGGUCAGAGCUCUAUCUCCAGUUUCUCCCACUCACAACAAAAGAAUGAUCUCCUUCUCAGACCUUAUGUCUAUCUCUCUCAGCUCCAGGUCAAACCUGCCCUGUGCACACCCCAGCUACCUGGGAUCUCCCAGGGAGUUAGCUCUGGGAACAUUUUCUUUCCAAGAGGCCAGCACUCAGGAAAUCCCUUCUCCUGUUCCCUGUUCCCUGACAGUUUCCGACCCAUAUUUUCCCCCAUUUGCAUUUCUUCAGCCUCCCCUGGGAUCCAAGGCAUCCAAAAAUCUCUUUCUUGCCCCUCCUGAGGAUCAGACUCAACACCACACUGUGUAUCUUUGAAAUCCCAGGAUGCUUUAGGAUGAAUGACAGGACUGGGCAUACAGGUGUGUAAAUAUAUAUGUGCAUGUGUGCGCACAUGAGUGGACUCACAUGAUUUGUCCCUAAAGAGAGAACAAUCUUUCCCUCUUACAAAGGUCCUCAAAGAUCUCCUGUUUCCCUUGGCCAGAGUUAGCCAGGUUAGGUGAGUGCAGGUUCCAAGAGGACAGCUGAACGCCUUCUGUGUCAUGUCACAGAGCAGGGCAUGGCUUCCAGGAGCUCUGAGCCCUGCAGCAGGCUCUGCUGCUCCAUGCUGCUUGAGUAUCUGAAAAGGGAGAUUGAGCUCUGAGUAUCCUUACUGGACGUGGGGGUGGAAGGCAGCUUAAUCCUGCGGACAGGUCUGAACUCAAUGGAAUGAUGUUUGAAAACAAUCACUGGGUGAUUGACUUACUUUUCCAGAGUGUUCCUUUGGUCUGACAGUUCAGGAUUCAUGCUGAUUUAUGGAGCACAGUAUUCCAGCAGCUCUGGGAAGGCUUCUGGUUUCUUCUGGGCUUGAGCUCAUGGGGAGAGGUGGAAACAAGGAACUGCACUGGAAUGCUGGGAGUCAGGGGGCUGAGGAAGAGAGAGGCCCGAGGUGGGACCCCAGCAGAAGCCCAGUCAUGCUUCUACCUGCCUUGGACCUUUGGCAAAGGUAGGUGGGAUAGGAGCCCCAAUUUCUGUUGCAAAGCAGGGCUGUGUUUGUUGGAGCCACAGAGAGACAGUGUGUUCUGGGUACUCAGUCUCUCUCAUUUAACC
Molecule: long non-coding RNA, 1981 nt
Filed under: Marmota monax (woodchuck)
Lineage: Eukaryota; Metazoa; Chordata; Mammalia; Rodentia; Sciuridae
Source: RNAcentral